AUUGAACGCUGGCGGCAGGCCUAACACAUGCAAGUCGAGCGGAUGAGUGGAGCUUGCUCCAUGAUUCAGCGGCGGACGGGUGAGUAAUGCCUAGGAAUCUGCCUGGUAGUGGGGGACAACGUUUCGAAAGGAACGCUAAUACCGCAUACGUCCUACGGGAGAAAGCAGGGGACCUUCGGGCCUUGCGCUAUCAGAUGAGCCUAGGUCGGAUUAGCUAGUUGGUGAGGUAAAGGCUCACCAAGGCGACGAUCCGUAACUGGUCUGAGAGGAUGAUCAGUCACACUGGAACUGAGACACGGUCCAGACUCCUACGGGAGGCAGCAGUGGGAAUAUUGGACAAUGGGCGAAAGCCUGAUCCAGCCAUGCCGCGUGAGUGACGAAGGAUUUCGGUCUGUAAAGCUCUUUUCUGGGGAAGAAAUGAUGGAAGAGGAAAA
This 434-nucleotide ribosomal RNA is filed under the name uncultured bacterium. RNAcentral describes it as "bacterial SSU rRNA". It matches the Rfam family "Bacterial small subunit ribosomal RNA", at positions 30 to 465 of the family's 1533-position model. The record is from RNAcentral.